This 465-nucleotide ribosomal RNA is filed under the name uncultured bacterium. RNAcentral describes it as "partial 16S ribosomal RNA". It matches the Rfam family "Bacterial small subunit ribosomal RNA", at positions 338 to 795 of the family's 1533-position model. The record is from RNAcentral.
CCUCCGGGUGGCAGCAGUAGGGAAUCUUCCACAAUGGGCGAAAGCCUGAUGGAGCAACGCCGCGUGGGUGAAGAAGGUCUUCGGAUCGUAAAACCCUGUUGGUAGAGAAGAAAGUGCGUGAGAGUAACUGUUCACGGAUCGACGGUAUCUAACGAGAAAGCAACGGCUAACGACGUGCCAGCAGCCGCGGUAAUACGUAGGGGGCAAGCGUUAACCGGAUUUAGUGGGCGUAAAGGGAACGCAGGCGGUCUGUUAAGUCUGAUGUGAAAGCCUUCGGCUUAACCGGAGUAGUGCAUUGGAAACUGGGAGACUUGAGUGCCGAAGAGGAGAGUGGAACUCCAUGUGUAGCGGUGACAUGCGUAGAUAUCUGGAAGAACCCCAGUGGCGAACGCGGCUCUCUGGUCUGUAACUGACGCUGAGGUUCGAAAGCGUGGGUAGCAAACAGGAUUAGAUACCCCUGUAGUC